CUUGUAUAAAUACUUACCUUUGUAGUAUACUCUACAUCAGUUGACUCUAAGUUUCUGUUUGCAGUAAUUCGCACUAACUUCUGAAAAAAAAAGAUGAACUUCAAGGUAUUUAUGCUUCUUGUGCUGGCCGUUUUGGCUAUGAUGCAUUCAGCCAAUGCUGGCCAAGCAAAGAGAGAUGCAGUCACAAAAACGGCCAGGAACGCAAGAGAAGCCGUGCCUACAGCACCUGUCUACAAGAGGGAAGCUGCAAUGCCUCAAAAAGGCUCAAUGUGCGUGACCGAUCCAUGCCCUUAGCGGAUGAGCUAUGUAGCGGAAAAAAUCACAAAUGGUUGAUUUCCUUGAAAGUUGUGAUUAAAACAUAGUGAAAAAAAUUUUUUUUUUUGGAAUUUCAUUAUUCAUCUGAAGAAAAUAAUAAAUCCAAGUAGAAAGA
Armigeres subalbatus is the source of this 430-nucleotide long non-coding RNA. RefSeq lists it as uncharacterized. NCBI's taxonomy places the organism in Eukaryota, Metazoa, Arthropoda, Insecta, Diptera, Culicidae. The transcript is spliced from 2 exons. The record is from RefSeq and is a predicted model, not a curated record.